This 1351-nucleotide long non-coding RNA is filed under the name Canis lupus familiaris (dog). RNAcentral describes it as "lncRNA (ENSCAFG00845004307.1)". The record is from RNAcentral. Lineage: Eukaryota; Metazoa; Chordata; Mammalia; Carnivora; Canidae.
ACAACUUGAGAGAAAUUUCCUUUUUAUGAUCCAUGAAGGGUACAUAAAAUCCCUUCUGUCAGGAAUCCGAAGCCUGAGAGAAGGCUAGGUUGGGCUGGGGUAAGGGACAUCCUAUAAUGACUGUAGUCCAAGACCAGGAUCCAACUGGGCUCCCUUGGGCUUUCACGUGAGGAAGAAUGGAGUGGGACUUACAUGCCUGUCAAAGUAAGAAGAGUAAAGAAUGGAUCUAAUCCGUUUAACCACUAUCUUUAUCACACGUUCACUCAACCCAAUUUCCUUCAGUUAAACUAAGAAGGAAUCUUGGAAUCAAAGUUGUACAAAUGGCAGAGCUAAGCCCAAGGUAGAGGUGGGGCAUUGCCUUGCACUCUGGGUUCCUGGGGCUGAGAAAUGGCUACUUGGUGGACAGAAUAACCCAAAUCAUGUUUUCACUGCCAACUCCUUUGGUGACUCUUGAGAAAUCUUUUGAUACAUAGGACACUUUUUUAGUACUUUAAGUUAGACAACCAGAAGGAAAACUUUACAGAAAUUUCCUAAAUCUUAAUCACACAUUAGCUUAGUAAAGAUAAUGGAACAGAUUCCACAAAAUGCACAAAAUGUAUAUAGAGCCUAUAUCCAGCAGGACUUGUUAAGCUGUGUCUAUAUACCAAUUACAGAGUGUUCAAGUUGUAUGCCAGAUGGUGCACCUAGGUGCUUGGACAUCAUGUUCACCUCCAAUAUUUAUUCUGCACAGCAGCUAGAAUGACCUUCAUUAAUGCCAAAUUCCCAGAUUUGAGCCAGAUGUUGGAUGAAGUCCUGUAAGCACAGAAGAAAUUUUCAAAUAUCAACCUUUGAUGUGAGGGACGGGCCUCUCACCCAUCAGCAAGCACACAUAACCAAGUUAUCUUUGAGGUCCUGGAAGCGGGCUCCCACUGACAGGCAAGCAUGUCAGGGUCUCAGAGUGAUCAAGAGUCCAAGUCUAGUUGGCCCCGCUUAAGAUCCCCUGUCUCAGGUAGGAGGAGUUGGCACCAGGACAACAUACCACAUUCCUGGGAAUGCUCAGGCUACACUGCAACCAAGUGAUCAAUCUCAGAACUUGAGGGAAUGGGCACAAUCUAAAGCAUCUCUUACUAAGACUGCAGGUAAUAUUCACAAGCCUGGGAGGUCUGCAGGUUGCAGUUGCUAUCUGGACUCUCCAGGACAUUGACCCAGUUAGUAUUGUCCUUCUCCUUUCCCUAAGGAAAUCACUUCAGUCAGCUUUGAGUUCCCAAUGUGAGCAGCCCUCCUGAAUCCUUCCACUGAGUAUUCUCUACCUUUUGCUGCCUCUCUUUCUCUGUCUCUCAUGAAUGAAUGAAUAAAAUCUUUUUUAAAAAUG